AGAACCCCAGUUUGGAAUUUACAACAAGAUUACAAGGUACCAGAUAAAUAUAACAGACCUGGUUGUUCAAACGCAAAAUGCCAAAAAUUAAAAUCAAAGUUGAAAAACCAUUCUGUAACACACGAAAAACAGUUUUUCUCACAUUUCCAAACUGAGCAUAAGAAUGACCAUGCAACAUCUCAUGAGAAUUUCUUAGUUAAUCAGACUUGAUUUCAUGCAUAAUGCAGUCACAGAGCUGAUUAACCAAUGAAUUUAUUCCCACAAUAUAAUUCCUAGAUUUGACGGUUAACAGAAAGUUAAGAAAUGAAUCUUUGAUCGGCGUACGUAACUGGUGUGAAUCUUACCAUGCCAAGACUGGCCUUCGAUUGUACCUAGUGUCAGAGGCUGAACGAUUAAUUUUCAACUCACUCAAAAAUUGAUUACCUCAAUAAAUUCUAAGAAUGAGAAUGACCAUGCCAGAUAUCCUGAGAAUUUCUUAGUUAAUCAGACUUCAUUUUAUCCAUAAUGCAGACAGAGCUGAUCAACCAGAAAAUUAUUCUUAUAAUAUAAUACCUAGAUUUGACUGUUAAUAGAAAGCUGCCAGUGGGCUUUGAGAAAUAAAUCUUUUUUUGCUUGAGCUUGGGGGUGAAGAGAAUUUAAGGGGUGCAUUUAUCAUGAAACGGACCCUUAUCUCGACAGGUACAUAUAGUCAGCCGGUUUGAGACAUUUUUAAGGCAGGCUGGAGUGACUGUGUCUAUUUUUUAUUAGCUAGGAUAUUUAAUCAUUUAUUUCUUGUUCUCUCUCUGGGUGCUAGGACGCUCCAUAUUUUCUCUUACAACGGUCUGACAGCCAGCGUAUAACCUUCCUGUGGCAUUUUCCCUCUAUGUUCAUGUCCAAGUUUGCAUGUGAAUGAUUGCAAGAUAAGACACCCACAACUUUCUUUGUUCGAGUAAAACUUCAGGUUUUAAGACACAGAGCACAUUGUGGCCGCUUCAGUGAUGGAUGCCAUAGAUAACACAUGGCUGAUUUGUUUCGGCAAAAAGCACUUUUGUACUCACCUUCCGAGCCUCAAAUGGACAAGGAGCUUGGUUUUACCAUCGUGGUCGAGAAAAGAGCCUCCUUCAGCAGCUAACACAAACUGUAAAAGAGCUGUCGCGAUUCAGUGAUGAUGGAAGACUGUUACAAAUGGAUGCAAACAGCGUAAAGUAGAUACAACAUUUGGAGAAAAGAAUUGCGGCGGCACUUGCUAGACCUCGUGCACUUCACGCAAUCAGAUUACAAAGUCUGGUACUUUGCCUGAGGCAGGCCCAUUUUUCAGAUGGAAACAGCGUAGCAAAAACAACUGGAGAAAUGAAUUCUUUGCACUCGACCUCUGGAGCAUUCCGUGCAAUCAGAUUACAAAUUCCUGCAUCGACUACAAGGGAUGGAAGGGAGCCGAGUGAAGUCUGGAUUAGACGCAAAGGGCUACAAAACUCAAGCUGGACAUCAAACCCAUUACUGGAAGAUUCAAUGCCAUUCUUUAUAGUUACUGUGGUGGUGGCCGCUCUUCUGCGGGCCUUAGGGCUCGCAGAAGAGGAUUUAGUACCAUUUUCAGUGGAAGAAGUAGGGGCCCCUCCACAUCAACAAGCCAGGGCCCCCACUGAGCACAGAGAGGACUGAGUGUCCUCUCCGUGCUCAAAAGUUGUAAAUAUACGUUUGUUUCAUUCACAGUAAAAUAAAUGUUGCGUUUGAAGGGACACCACCACCUCAAAACACACAUCUAAGAAGGUGACUUAUACCCACGUGUACUGCUAGAAGUCUGUUCGUGAAAAUUAGGAAGAACCAAAGCCAGCAAGUGACACCAACCCCAUUGUGUUUUCCAACAUUGCAAUUGUUACAUUUUAAACAGUCAUUAAAAACAUGCAACGUUCUUAUAGUUAAAACAAAGAUUUUAGAAACCGCGUCUUUUGAGAAAAGUGAAAUUUGACUCUACACUUCUAAAGUUAGCCCUUCGCAGCCUUUCAUUUGGGAUGACAUCCUAAAACAAAGGCGCGUAAGGUGUGAAAGAGUUAUUUUUUUGUGUGAAGUGUCGGAGAUAGGAGCAUUCAUGGUACAGUAAUGAUUGGUUAAUU
This 2090-nucleotide unclassified non-coding RNA is filed under the name Orbicella faveolata. Its description in RNAcentral is "uncharacterized LOC110062099, transcript variant X5". The record is from RNAcentral. Lineage: Eukaryota; Metazoa; Cnidaria; Anthozoa; Scleractinia; Merulinidae.